Non-coding RNA from Acanthosepion pharaonis, 90 nucleotides. The record is from the annotation of a GenBank genome assembly. NCBI's taxonomy places the organism in Eukaryota, Metazoa, Mollusca, Cephalopoda, Sepiida, Sepiidae.
CUAGUUCUCGUACGAUCACCGAAGUUAAGCAACGUCGAUCCUGUUUGGUACCUAGAUGGGUGACCGCCUCAAAAUACCAGGUGCUGUAAG